Molecule: ribosomal RNA, 496 nt
Filed under: uncultured bacterium
Lineage: Bacteria
Description: partial 16S ribosomal RNA
Rfam family: Bacterial small subunit ribosomal RNA
Source: RNAcentral
ACGAACGCUGGCGGCGUGCCUCAUACAUGCAAGUUGAGCGCUGAAGGUUGGUACUUGUACCGACUGGAUGAGCAGCGAACGGGUGAGUAACGCGUGGGGAAUCUGCCUUUGAGCGGGGGACAACAUUUGGAAACGAAUGCUAAUACCGCAUAAAAACUUUAAACACAAGUUUUAAGUUUGAAAGAUGCAAUUGCAUCACUCAAAGAUGAUCCCGCGUUGUAUUAGCUAGUUGGUGAGGUAAAGGCUCACCAAGGCGAUGAUACAUAGCCGACCUGAGAGGGUGAUCGGCCACAUUGGGACUGCGACACGGCCCAAACUCCUACGGGAGGCAGCAGUAGGGAAUCUUCGGCAAUGGACGAAAGUCUGACCGAGCAACGCCGCGUGAGUGAAGAAGGUUUUCGGAUCGUAAAACUCUGUUGGUAGAGAAGAACGUUGGUGAGAGUGGAAAGCUCAUCAAGUGACGGUAACUACCCAGAAAGGGACGGCUAACUACGUG